Molecule: ribosomal RNA, 674 nt
Filed under: uncultured bacterium
Lineage: Bacteria
Description: bacterial SSU rRNA
Rfam family: Bacterial small subunit ribosomal RNA
Source: RNAcentral
AGAGUUUGAUCCUGGCUCAGGAUGAACGCUAGCGGCAGGCCUAAUACAUGCAAGUCGAACGGUGUAGCAAUACAUAGUGGCGCACGGGUGCGUAACACGUAUGCAACCUACCUUAUACUGGGGGAUAGCCUUUGGAAACGGAGAUUAAUACCCCAUAGUACAUUUGAUUGGCAUCAAUUAAAUGUUAAAGAUUUAUCGGUAUAAGCUGGGCAUGCGUCCAAUUAGUUAGUUGGUGAGGUAAUGGCUCACCAAGACUUUGAUUGGUAGGGGAACUGAGAGGUUAAUCCCCCACACUGGCACUGAGAUACGGGCCAGACUCCUACGGGAGGCAGCAGUAGGGAAUAUUGGGCAAUGGAGGCAACUCUGACCCAGCCAUGCCGCGUGCAGGAAGAAGGCGUUAUGCGUUGUAAACUGCUUUUAUAUAGGAAGAAAUAGUCCUUGCGAGGAAAGUUGACGGUACUAUAUGAAUAAGCACCGGCUAACUCCGUGCCAGCAGCCGCGGUAAUACGGAGGGUGCAAGCGUUGUCCGGAUUUAUUGGGUUUAAAGGGUGCGUAGGCGGUUUAUUAAGUCAGUGGUGAAAGACGGUCGCUCAACGAUUGCAGUGCCAUUGAUACUGGUAGACUUGAGUGGGAUUGAGGUAGCUGGAAUGGAUAGUGUAGCGGUGAAAUGCAUA